UGGUUAAAAAGCUCGUAGUUGGAUCUCAACAGCCUUGAAGCGGUUAACUUUGUAGUUUUACUGCUUUAUAGGCUGUGCUUUUGCUGGAGGUUUAGGGGUGCUCUUGAUCGAGUGUCUCUGGAUGCCAGCAGGUUUACUUUGAAAAAAUUAGAGUGCUCAAAGCAGGCUAAAAUGCCUGAAUAUUCGUGCAUGGAAUAAUAGAAUAGGAUGUCGAUCCUAUUUUGUUGGUUUUCGGGACUCGACAUAAUGAUAAAUAGGGACAGUCGGGGGCAUUCGUAUUCAAACGACAGAGGUGAAAUUCUUAGACCGUUUGAAGACAAACUACUGCGAAAGCAUUUGCCAAGAAUGUUUUCAUUAAUCAAGAACGAAAGUUAGAGGUUCGAAGGCGAUUAGAUACCGCCCUAGUUCUAACCAUAAACGAUGCCAGCUAGCGAUCUGCCUGCGUUUUUACUGUAGACUGGGCAGGAAGCUUCCGGGAAACCAAAGCAUUUGGGUUCCAGGGGAAGUAUGGUUGCAAAGCUGAAACUUAAAGGAAUUGACGGAAGGGCACCACCAGGAGUGGAGCCUGUGGCUUAAUUUGACUCAACACGGGAAAUCUCACCAGGCCCGGACACUGGAAGGAUUGACAGAUUGAUAGCUCUUUCU
RNAcentral lists this ribosomal RNA (645 nucleotides) under uncultured marine eukaryote. RNAcentral describes it as "SSU rRNA". It matches the Rfam family "Eukaryotic small subunit ribosomal RNA", at positions 616 to 1262 of the family's 1831-position model. The record is from RNAcentral.